Molecule: long non-coding RNA, 4568 nt
Filed under: Canis lupus familiaris (dog)
Lineage: Eukaryota; Metazoa; Chordata; Mammalia; Carnivora; Canidae
Description: lncRNA (ENSCAFG00000053589.1)
Source: RNAcentral
AGUACAAUGGGGUUAAAUCACUUAUUAAGUUCACAUUACAAGUAAGUGGCAAAGUCAAGAAGAGCUCCUAGAUCUGAAGCCAAGGCUCCUGCCUUCUGGAAGAAGUUCCAGAGUAUAUUGUCUCAUACUACUUUGUAUCUAAUUGAUGCUUGCUAGUAGUAUUUUAUUUUUAACUAGUAGUAAAUAUUUGAGAGGUCUAGGUUGCUAAGAAAAUAGUCUUCGUUUCAUGAAAUUGCUGGGUAAAGUAGAAGAAAGCAGUCAUCUUGAAUAGAGUUUUCUGUAAAAUAAACAAAAAGGUUUUGUUCUUGGUUUUAAAAAAAAAAAAAAUCUAUUUCUUUCCAUGUCUGGGAGGUGACCUUUCUGAUGUUACACCGUGGGUAGAAUUCAUUCUGUAGGAUGUGAGUGGGAUUUGGGAAGUGUGAUGGGAAUGACUGAUGAAUCCGUACCCCCUUCCUAACUGGCUUGUCAUGCUAAAAACAGUGCCGUUCUGGUCUCACAGAUGAAUGGAGAAAACAUAAACGAUGGAUAUAGGAAAAUAUCACUUCGGAUUAGGUUUAGCUGUGAGUGACCAAAAAAAAAAAAAAAAAAAAAAAAAGUCUCAAAUGCCAGUGCUUCAAAACAAGAUAGAAUCUUAUUUCUCAUGCAUGUAAAAGAAGUAUGGAGCUCAGGAAUUUAAGGCAAUUUCAAGAUGACUGAAGAUUUUUUCCUGUUUUGCUGCUUCAUCAUCCUCAAUAUAUGCCUCUCUUCCUCAUGGUCCAGGCUGGCUGCUUGAAUACCUUCUAUCACAUGGUAAUCCAGCUGGUAGGAAGGAAGAAGGGCACACCUCCCUUCCUUUAAGGACACCUUCCAGAAGUCACACACGACACCUUUGUCUAGAUCCAGUUAGCCAGAAUGUACUCAUGUCAUGUACAUGUGGUUGUGACCACACACACCUGGUUGCAAGGGAGGCUAGAAAAUGUGGUCUCAUCCUGGAGGGUGGAGGUGAGGACAUUUCCUAUCAAUGAGGAAGAGGAAGAGAACAGAUACUGGGAGACUAGUAAAGUCCACCACAGAAAGAAUGGAAAGAUGAUCAUGGAAAAAGAUUGUCUCUGGUCCUCUGUUUGAGGAUACCUUAUGCAUGCUUUGCCUCGGAUGGGAAUCCUGGAACAAAUGCUCAGAUGUGAGUCCUCACCUUUUACUGAGUAUGAAUGAUACUUUGAAUGAAUGAUAGAAAUCUUUAGGAGCCCAUUAUCUUAAAAAAAAAAAAAAGCAAAGAUGACCACUUUAUCACUUUUAGUAGCUCCUUUGCACAUUGCUUCACUACAAAUGGGACCCACCUAAGGAAUUGCAUCAUUAAUGAAUCACUAGCUCAAAACCUUCAUUUACUUUCAGAAGCUUGCAACUCCUAUUUGAAGGUCUGAGCUCCCUGACAUAGAUACAGACUGCUCGAGGGACAUGGAUUCUGAGGUUCUUGUGACCUGUUCUCAUCAGCACAUCUUGUCAUGGGCGGGAAAUAAAUAUAUUUAGAAGGAUGGGAAGAAUGUUUAGGGAGCUGGCUGCUUUUCAGCUGUCUCCUUGUCAUAGGGCUCUUUCCUCUCAAGGUAUAUUGAAAUAAUAAUCCUAGCAACUAUUUUUUGAGAGCUCAUUAAGUAUAUGUUAAACUUAAAAAAAAAAGUAUAUGUUAAACUUAAACUUCAGAACAGCUCCGAAAGUUAGACUUUAUUCAUUCUCAUUGUAUAGACGUAAAAGCUCAGUCAGAUAACUAGUAAGGGGAGUUGCUGGAAUUUGAACUUGGGUCUGAUGGACUCCAGAAUCCAUACCGUUUAUCACUAUAGCCCCUCAUCUUUAAAAAAUACAAGAAGUACAAGGACCCAUUCAAUGUAUCUUUUUGCAUAAGUGGCCUAGGGAAAGUGGAGAGAUUUUUCCUGGUCCUUGGACUUGUAUGGCGACUCCCAGAACCCUCUCCUUGGUUCUUUACUGAACCAGUGAACUCUAGAAAGUGUCACUGCGGUAGAGCCGGAGGAGCAGACUGCUUAGAGCUCUCCAGGGGAGAGAGGUCAGGAGCAAAGAGCUGGGCUGGAGCCCUAUUCUUUCCCCAGCUUAUUGCUUUCCAGAGGUCUUGCUCUUACCACUCUGCUGGGGUUUUUUGUUUGUUUUUGUUUGGUGUUUGUUUUGUUUUGUUUUGUUUUUGCAGUCGCCUUCAUCUCAUAGCUGUCCCUAGUUACCAGAUGACUAUGUCUCUGAGGCUUUGGGUUUCUUCAACCUCAUGGGAGGUGGCGGGUGAGGAGGGGGAGAGAGGGAGGUGGGGUAGGAGUAGAGGGAAAGGAGGUGGUUACAGAAAGAAGGAAAACUACUUUCCCUGUCGUUCCCGGCAAAUUUCUUCUCAGCCUUUAUUGGCCCAAAUGGGGUCACAUGUUUGUCCCUGAUCCAAUACAUGAAGCUGGGAGAUGGGAUCAUGCAAAUUAAUUUUGAACCACAAAUCCCACUCCCAGAUUAACUUCCCUUAAGUACCUGGUCUUUGCAUGAGAAGCUGAGGCUACCAAAUAAAAGUAAAGAUUACAUUUUAUAAAAGACUAGGACUAGGGUUUGGGAAAGUUUCAUCUAUUGGACUCCCCCUCAUGUGAGAGAAUCAGCCCCUACCCGUUUCUAGCAGCACCCCAAAACCCUAGGUAUUAGGGCUCCUCCCUUGACUCAGGACUUUUGGAAGGCUGCUGACCCCUAGUGUUUAAAGUAGAGCAUUGGACAGAGAAUCCAGAGAUCUGGGUUAACCUUUGAAAUGAGAAUCACAAAAGCUGUGCCAUCCCCCCACACAAUGAGAGUGUGAGCAAAAUGAAACUUCUAGAAGUACUUUAAUGAGCACAAAGCCCCCAGCCACUGACACAUCAGUGUUUAGUGACUACUUGUGUGAGUAAAUGAAGAACCCAGAUGCUACUCAGCUCUCCUGUCCCCCUUCCUAGCCACUGCUUUCACUAGUAAAUAUAUCAGCCUACUUGUGUUCACAAAACAACUACCAAACAACCAAUUGUAUCUGGAAUAUGUGCAUAUAAAUAUGAAUGUAUGCUAACAACCCCAAAUUCACAUGUUUCGUGAUGUGGAAUGCCACUACAUGCUAGGAUAGCAGAGAAGACAUUCGUUGUGCAGGGCUUUUUAUUUUAAGCAAAUCAACAAGCAUUGCUAUUAUGAGCUCUAUUUUGAGCUGUGGGUGAAGCUGUGUUAGAUGGGGCUUUCCCUUGGUCUUGUGCUUUUGAGGUAACAGGAUAUUUCCUAUGUUCCAUGUUUUGGGGGUAGGUGUGGAGGGGAAAAGCGGGAGAAUGUUAAUUAUAAGAUGAAUCUCAAGAAAAUAGAAUGUUAUUAUUGUCUUAAUUUUGUUUUGCUUUCAAUUGAUUUCCAAUUCAAGUGCAAUGUGGCAGCUCUCAGGGUAAGAGAAAUUUGGCACAAACCUAUGAGUAGAAAUGAACUGCCAUUGACUGGAGAGGGCACCGAAGGCCAGAGAGGAUUUCUCAAUCUGAGGUCUGGGGGAGAGUUCUGGGAAAUGGUGGCAGCCACAGCUGUAGAAGUUCCAACAGCUGUUUGGUUUUGGCAGGCCAGGCUGCUGCUCACUGAAGAGAGCUGUGCUCGCCUGACAUGCAGCCUGGAAGAUCCCUUCCAGGAGAGGAGUCACACUCUUUGCAUAGGGAGAAGGAAAAUGGGCGGGUCAGUGCCAUAGUGGUCAGAUGGAUCAUGGAUGGAAAAAAAAAUCAAACUAUAUCCUUAUGUCCUGAAGUACUAUACAAGUUUUGCUAGCCUCCUCUUGUCUCUUGAGUAAAGGAAAUGAUACGUAUUGUCAAGACUAUCAUUAUUGAUACAAUUUUGUUGAGAAUGAAGAUAGGUAAUAAAUAUUCUAGCUUCCAGUUGAUAAAUUGCAUGAUUCUACUUUGGAUUCAUUCUUCUAAGAUACAUAGUGUUCCUACAGAAAUAUGGAUUCUAUUCAGUCAGUGUUUUACUGAGACUUAGAGAGCUACUUACAUUACAAACCAAUCUCAGCCAGUUUAAACAGUCCUAUUUUAAGCUGAAUUUGUGCAUCAGGGGAAAAGUGGUGGAAGGGGUUCCAUAUUGGCUGCAUGGGACUGAUGUAUGAAUAAUGGGCAAGUAAUUGAUGACCUGGGGUUCAUGCCAGCAGAACCCCCCUGCACAUCUGUUUUCACAAGCACUUGACACAGGCUCUGCAUUUUUAAAAUGCGCCAGGUGCAUAGAUUUGGUUGGUGUGUCUUUCUAAGUGCUCUGUGACUCUAUAAAAGGAGAAUUAACAAUGAAGAAGGUUACAACACUGUGUAGAGAAAUAAAACUAUUUUUAGAAUGUUUCUCCACAGGUUAACUUUUAGCUUCAGUGUGUUUUCUUUGGUUUGGUUUGGUUUGGUUUGGUUUUUGCUGCCUCUCCCCCCAUACCACCACAUUUGUGUGUGUGUGUGUGUGUGUGUGUGUGUUGACUAGAUAAUAACUAAUUAGCAAUGCCCUUGAGAAAAAGUCUCAGCCUGAGAAAUGUGGAGAAACCAUGGCUGGAGAACUCUGACACAGCUGUUCAAUUUUGGCAAGAAAAAAAAAAAAAAAAA